RNAcentral lists this ribosomal RNA (497 nucleotides) under uncultured bacterium. RNAcentral's name for it is "partial 16S ribosomal RNA". It matches the Rfam family "Bacterial small subunit ribosomal RNA", at positions 28 to 507 of the family's 1533-position model. The record is from RNAcentral.
GACGAACGCUGGCGGCGUGCCUAAUACAUGCAAGUUGAGCGCUGAAGGUUGGUACUUGUACCGACUGGAUGAGCAGCGAACGGGUGAGUAACGCGUGGGGAAUCUGCCUUUGAGCGGGGGACAACAUUUGGAAACGAAUGCUAAUACCGCAUAAAAACUUUAAACACAAGUUUUAAGUUUGAAAGAUGCAAUUGCAUCACUCAAAGAUGAUCCCGCGUUGUAUUAGCUAGUUGGUGAGGUAAAGGCUCACCAAGGCGAUGAUACAUAGCCGACCUGAGAGGGUGAUCGGCCACAUUGGGACUGAGACACGGCCCAAACUCCUACGGGAGGCAGCAGUAGGGAAGCUUCGGCAAUGGACGAAAGUCUGACCGAGCAACGCCGCGUGAGUGAAGAAGGUUUUCGGAUCGUAAAACUCUGUUGGUAGAGAAGAACGUUGGUGAGAGUGGAAAGCUCAUCAAGUGACGGUAACUACACAGAAAGGGACGGCUAACUACGUG